CGUUAAGUUUCCCGCCCGGGGAGUACGGUCGCAAGAGUGAAAAUCAAAAGAAUUGACGGGGGGCCGCACACACGGUGGAGUAUGUGGUUUAAUUUGAUGCACAGCGAAGAACCUUUCCUGUCCUUGACACGUCCAGAACUUUCCAGAGAUGGAUUGGGGCCUUUUGGAACUCUAACACACAGGUUGCACGGCGGUGUUCACAUCUUGUCGUGAGAAAUUGGGUUAAAUCUCGCAACGAGCGCACCCCCUUUCUUUAGUUUCCACCACGUAAUGGCGGGAACUUUAAGGAGGCCGCCGGUGACAAACCGGAGGAAAGUGGGGAAGGAGUCAAGUUAUCAUGGCCCUUUCGGCCAAGGCUACCCCCCUAGUUCAAUGGUAGGGACAGAGGGGAACAAACCGGGGGCGAUCAACCAAUCCCAGAAAACCUAUUUCAGUUCGGAUUGGAGUUUGCAACUUGGCUCCCAGAAAUUGGAAUUGCUAGUAAUUGCAGAUCAGCAUUGCUGCGGUGAAUACGUUCCCGGGCCUUGUACACACCGCCCGUCACACCAUGGGAGUUUGUUGCACCAAGAAGCAGGUAGCUUAACCUUC
This 588-nucleotide ribosomal RNA is filed under the name Stenotrophomonas sp. d46. RNAcentral describes it as "bacterial SSU rRNA". It matches the Rfam family "Bacterial small subunit ribosomal RNA", at positions 858 to 1443 of the family's 1533-position model. The record is from RNAcentral. Lineage: Bacteria; Pseudomonadati; Pseudomonadota; Gammaproteobacteria; Lysobacterales; Lysobacteraceae.